CCUAAGGUAGCGAAAUUCCUUGUCGGGUAAGUUCCGACCUGCACGAAUGGCAUAACGAUGGCCACACUGUCUCCUCCCGAGACUCAGUGAAGUUGAAAUGUUUGUGAUGAUGCAAUCUACCCGCGGCUAGACGGGAAGACCCCAUGAACCUUUACUGCAGCUUUGCAUUGAACUGUGAACCGAUUUGUGUAGGAUAGGUGGGAGGCAGAGAAGAGGCCACGCCAGUGGUCUUGGAGCCGACCUUGAAAUACCACCCUGAUUUGUUUGCGGUUCUAACCACGGACAGUGAUCCUGUCUUGGGACCGUGCAUGGUAGGCAGUUUGACUGGGGCGGUCUCCUCCUAAAGGGUAACGGAGGAGUACGAAGGUACGCUAGGUACGGUCGGAAAUCGUGCUGAUAGUGCAAUGGCAAAAGCGUGCUUGACUGCGAGAGCAACAACUCGAGCAGAUGCGAAAGCAGGUCAUAGUGAUCCGGUGGCUCUGAAUGGAAGGGCCAUCGCUCAACGGAUAAAAGGUACUCUGGGGAUAACAGGCUGAUACCGCCCAAGAGUUCAUAUCGACGGCGGUGUUUGGCACCUCGAUGUCGGCUCAUCUCAUCCUGGGGCUGUAGUCGGUCCCAAGGGUAUGGCUGUUCGCCAUUUAAAGAGGUACGUGAGCUGGGUUUAAAACGUCGUGAGACAGUUUGGUCCCUAUCUGCCGUGGGCGUUGGAAGAUUGACGGGGGCUGCUCCUAGUACGAGAGGACCGGAGUGGACGCACCUCUGGUGUACCGGUUGUCACGCCAGUGGCAUUGCCGGGUAGCUAAGUGCGGAAGAGAUAACCGCUGAAAGCAUCUAAGCGGGAAACUUGCCUGAAGAUGAGUCUUCCCGGAGGUUGAACCUCCCUCAAGAGUCGUCCGAGACCAGGACGUCGAUAGGUCAGGUGUGUAAGCGCUGUAAGGCGUUGAGCUAACUGAUACUAAUUGCUCGUGAGGCUUGAUCCU
RNAcentral lists this ribosomal RNA (980 nucleotides) under human gut metagenome. RNAcentral describes it as "bacterial LSU rRNA". It matches the Rfam family "Bacterial large subunit ribosomal RNA", at positions 1950 to 2925 of the family's 2925-position model. The record is from RNAcentral.